GGGGCUGUGGUUCGAUGGUAGAGCUUCUGUUUUGUGCUCAUGAGGACCUGGGUUUGAUUCCCGGCAUCUCCA
This 72-nucleotide transfer RNA is filed under the name Cricetulus griseus (Chinese hamster). It matches the Rfam family "tRNA". From Rfam's summary of the family: Transfer RNA (tRNA) molecules are approximately 80 nucleotides in length. Their secondary structure includes four short double-helical elements and three loops (D, anti-codon, and T loops). The record is from Rfam by way of RNAcentral. Lineage: Eukaryota; Metazoa; Chordata; Mammalia; Rodentia; Cricetidae.